RNAcentral lists this ribosomal RNA (460 nucleotides) under uncultured bacterium. RNAcentral's name for it is "partial 16S ribosomal RNA". It matches the Rfam family "Bacterial small subunit ribosomal RNA", at positions 338 to 795 of the family's 1533-position model. The record is from RNAcentral.
CCUACGGGAGGCAGCAGUGAGGAAUAUUGGUCAAUGGACGAGAGUCUGAACCAGCCAAGUAGCGUGAAGGAUGACUGCCCUAUGGGUUGUAAACUUCUUUUAUAUGGGAAUAAAACGUUCCACGUGUGGGAUUUUGUAUGUACCAUAAGAAUAAGGAUCGGCUAACUCCGUGCCAGCAGCCGCGGUAAUACGGAGGAUCCGAGCGUUAUCCGGAUUUAUUGGGUUUAAAGGGAGCGUAGGUGGAUUGUUAAGUCAGUUGUGAAAGUUUGCGGCUCAACCGUAAAAUUGCAGUUGAAACUGGCAGUCUUGAGUACAGUAGAGGUGGGCGGAAUUCGUGGUGUAGCGGUGAAAUGCUUAGAUAUCACGAAGAACUCCGAUUGCGAAGGCAGUUCACUGGACUGCAACUGACACUGAGGCUCGAAAGUGUGGGUAUCAAACAGGAUUAGAUACCCCGGUAGUC